AGAUUGAACGCUAGCGGGAUGCUUUACACAUGCAAGUCGAACGGCAGCGCGGACUUCGGUCUGGCGGCGAGUGGCGAACGGGUGAGUAAUACAUCGGAACGUGCCCAAUCGUGGGGGAUAACGCAGCGAAAGCUGUGCUAAUACCGCAUAAGAUCUACGGAUGAAAGCAGGGGAUCGCAAGACCUUGCGCGAAUGGAGCGGCCGAUGGCAGAUUAGGUAGUUGGUGAGGUAAAGGCUCACCAAGCCUUCGAUCUGUAGCUGGUCUGAGAGGACGACCAGGCCACACUGGGACUGAGACACGGCCCAGACUCCUACGGGAGCAGCAGUGGGAUUUGGACAGUGGGCGAAAGCCUGAUCCAGCCAUCGCCGCGUCGCGAGGAUGGAACGGUCCGUUCGGGUUAUAACGUGUCGUUUUAGUACGGAACG
This 426-nucleotide ribosomal RNA is filed under the name uncultured soil bacterium. RNAcentral describes it as "bacterial SSU rRNA". It matches the Rfam family "Bacterial small subunit ribosomal RNA", at positions 26 to 451 of the family's 1533-position model. The record is from RNAcentral.